ACUCCUGCGGGAGGCAGCAGUGGGGAAUAUUGCACAAUGGGCGCAAGCCUGAUGCAGCCAUGCCGCGUGUAUGAAGAAGGCCUUCGGGUUGUAAAGUACUUUCAGCGGGGAGGAAGGCGAUAAGGUUAAUAACCUUGUCGAUUGACGUUACCCGCAGAAGAAGCACCGGCUAACUCCGUGCCAGCAGCCGCGGUAAUACGGAGGGUGCAAGCGUUAAUCGGAAUUACUGGGCGUAAAGCGCACGCAGGCGGUCUGUUAAGUCGGAUGUGAAAUCCCCGGGCUCAACCUGGGAACUGCAUUCGAAACUGGCAGGCUAGAGUCUUGUAGAGGGGGGUAGAAUUCCAGGUGUAGCGGUGAAAUGCGUAGAGAUCUGGAGGAAUACCGGUGGCGAAGGCGGCCCCCUGGACAAAGACUGACGCUCAGGUGCGAAAGCGCGGGGAGCAAACAGGAUUAGAAACCCCUGUAGUCCCAUGAU
Molecule: ribosomal RNA, 475 nt
Filed under: uncultured organism
Description: partial 16S ribosomal RNA
Rfam family: Bacterial small subunit ribosomal RNA
Source: RNAcentral